CAGGGAGAAACUCGAUGAGAAAACAGGAGGCCCUCUUCGAAAUGCGGCAAUUGAAACAGGGUAUGGGGAUGUGAAUGCCUGGAUAGAAUGGGUCAAAUAUGCUGUCCAGAGUCUCAACCAUAGCAAUUGCUAUGCUUGCGCCUCAGGAUGACCGACUGCCCAGAUAGUGCCCUUCCCAUUGGGGUGGACCAAGGGUUCCCAGGGGAUGCAAUGUAUGAUUGCAUUAUACCAAGAAAAGACUGCCUGGGGAAAUGAGGCCUGUAAGCGUCUCUCUUUGCUGUUCCCUUCCUUGCGUGAUAGCAAUAUCAGGGUUCCCCCUGCAUUAUCUACAGCUAUAGGUAACCAUACAGCUUGCCUUUCACGGCAGGGUGGGAGUGCUACCCAGCAUCUGGGAGAAUUUACCUUGUGCACGAGGACCUUGAAUGCUACCAAGGACUUGAUGGGAAACUGCUCAAGACUUGAGAUCCCCAGGGCAGAUCUCUGGUGGUACUGUGGAGGGAAGAUCUUACGGUCCACCCUACCAUCUAAUUGGGGAGGCACUUGUGCACUUGUUCAAUUAGCUAUACCCUUCACCCUGGCAUUUGAAA
Oxyura jamaicensis (ruddy duck) is the source of this 587-nucleotide long non-coding RNA. RefSeq lists it as uncharacterized. Lineage: Eukaryota; Metazoa; Chordata; Aves; Anseriformes; Anatidae. The transcript has 2 exons. The record is from RefSeq and is a predicted model, not a curated record.